GAUGAACGCUGGCGGCGUGCCUAAUACAUGCAAGUCGAGCGAACAGACGAGGAGCUUGCUCCUCUGACGUUAGCGGCGGACGGGUGAGUAACACGUGGAUAACCUACCUAUAAGACUGGGAUAACUUCGGGAAACCGGAGCUAAUACCGGAUAAUAUAUUGAACCGCAUGGUUCAAUAGUGAAAGACGGUUUUGCUGUCACUUAUAGAUGGAUCCGCGCCGCAUUAGCUAGUUGGUAAGGUAACGGCUUACCAAGGCGACGAUGCGUAGCCGACCUGAGAGGGUGAUCGGCCACACUGGAACUGAGACACGGUCCAGACUCCUACGGGAGGCAGCAGUAGGGAAUCUUCCGCAAUGGGCGAAAGCCUGACGGAGCAACGCCGCGUGAGUGAUGAAGGUCUUCGGAUCGUAAAACGCUGUUAUUAGGGAAGAACAAAUGUGUAAGUAACUAUGCACGUCUUGACGGGACCUAAUCAGAAAGCCACGGCUAACUACGG
This 496-nucleotide ribosomal RNA is filed under the name uncultured bacterium. Its description in RNAcentral is "partial 16S ribosomal RNA". It matches the Rfam family "Bacterial small subunit ribosomal RNA", at positions 28 to 506 of the family's 1533-position model. The record is from RNAcentral.